AGAGUUUGAUCAUGGCUCAGAUUGAACGCUGGCGGAAUGCUUUACACAUGCAAGUCGAGCGGCAGCGCGGGGGCAACCUUGGCGGCGAGCGGCGAACGGGUGAGUAACACAUCGGAACGUACCCUAUCGUGGGGGAUAACACAUCGAAAGAUGUGCUAAUACCGCAUACGACCUGAGGGUGAAAGCAGGGGAUCGCAAGACCUUGCGCGACAGGAGCGGCCGAUGUCAGAUUAGCUAGUUGGUGAGGUAAAGGCUCACCAAGGCGACGAUCUGUAGCUGGUCUGAGAGGACGACCAGCCACACUGGAACUGAGACACGGUCCAGACUCCUACGGGAGGCAGCAGUGGGGAAUUUUGGACAAUGGGGGCAACCCUGAUCCAGCCAUUCCGCGUGAGUGAAGAAGGCCUUCGGGUUGUAAAGCCCUUUCGGCAGGAACGAAACGGUGUGAGUUAAUACCUCAUAUCAAUGACGGUACCUGAAGAAGAAGCACCGGCUAACUACGUGCCAGCAGCCGCGGUAAUACGUAGGGUGCGAGCGUUAAUCGGAAUUACUGGGCGUAAAGCGUGCGCAGGCGGUUUUGUAAGACAGAUGUGAAAUCCCCGGGCUUAACCUGGGAACUGCGUUUGUGACUGCAAGACUCGAGUGUGGCAGAGGGGGGUGGAAUUCCACGUGUAGCAGUGAAAUGCGUAGAGAUGUGGAGGAACACCGAUGGCGAAGGCAGCCCCCUGGGUCAACACUGACGCUCAUGCACGAAAGCGUGGGUAGCAA
Molecule: ribosomal RNA, 768 nt
Filed under: uncultured bacterium
Lineage: Bacteria
Description: bacterial SSU rRNA
Rfam family: Bacterial small subunit ribosomal RNA
Source: RNAcentral